Lynx canadensis (Canada lynx) is the source of this 665-nucleotide long non-coding RNA. RefSeq lists it as uncharacterized. Lineage: Eukaryota; Metazoa; Chordata; Mammalia; Carnivora; Felidae. The record is from RefSeq and is a predicted model, not a curated record. The transcript is spliced from 3 exons.
AGGUCCACUCCUGGGCCAGCCCAGUCUCUUGAGAGGACAGACCUGAGGGAAGGAGAAAGGAGCCAGGAGCCUCCCGCAAAACCCAGUGAGGUUUAAUCCACGGAAUGAAACCAGGAUGAAGCAGCCUUCCCCAGCUUCCAGCCCCUGGUGGAGCAAACUCCCCACAUGAGGACAUCAACGUCCUUCUCAAUCCUUAGCUGUCAAGAGAAAACUCUCCUGAGACUGACCCCGAGCUGGCCCGGGCGACUCUCGUGAGAACCAGCCCGGGCUGGCCUGCGGGAAACAAGCGGCCUAAAGUCAGCACCGUCAAGCCAGCCAGACGCCCGGGGUCGACCAGCUGCCUCGCCGCAGGUGCAGAUGCAGGCGAGGGAAGCCAGCCAGCGGUCCCCUGGGCCCACAUCAUCCUGCUGACCUGCAGAAGCGUGAGCGGAGAAAUGACUGUUGCCUUCAGCCACUGAGUUUUGGGGCGACUCGCUCCACAGCAAAAGCUGACGGACACAAGGUCCAUAAACAUUUGUUGAAUGAAUGUUAACGAACGUUGUGUCUUCCCCACCCCACCGCCAACCUCCCAUGGGACCCCCGCCCCUCACCUUUCUCGUCACCGUCACAGCCGGCGGCCCCGACCUCCACAGCCACCCAGUCUUUGGUGGGGGUGGCGCGCUUCU